UUCAGUUUUUUUACCAGUAUGUACAGCACUGUGUUUGUGAUGUACAGAUGUACAGGAAAGGUAACCCGCAAAACCACUAUUCUCUAUUUGUCAUGGUUACAGGGAAUAACUGGAGCACAUGGUGUCAGAGGCAAAACUGGGAAGCUAGGGCCCCCUGGUCUAUUGGGACAAGUUGGGCCUCAGGGAGACCAUGGAGUUAAAGGAGAACCAGGACCACAGGGACUGAAGGGCAAGCCAGGUCCUCCAGGCCCACAAGGGGAAUGCGUUAGUAUGAUUUCUAUGAUAUGUGUACCUACAGUUGUGCCACCUCUACAUCAUUAUACCUAA
This 327-nucleotide long non-coding RNA is filed under the name Betta splendens (Siamese fighting fish). RNAcentral describes it as "lncRNA (ENSBSLG00000025165.1)". The record is from RNAcentral. Lineage: Eukaryota; Metazoa; Chordata; Actinopteri; Anabantiformes; Osphronemidae.